CUGAACACAGUGGGCACUAUGAGUAUAUGAGAGGCUUUUAGUCUGUCUUGCAACCCAGAACGUUCUGGAAACUUUAGCAGUUGAUGGGCAGCAGUAAAUGUGUUGGCUUACUCCUUUGGGAAUCCAGUGCUGCAAGGAGAUGGAUGCUGUGAAGCUUGCCUGAGGAAAAGGCUGCAUUCUUUCUCCUGGGAAGACUGUUUGCUGAAGGUUCUCUGAGCAUGCAUUCUGAAAGCAAGGAACCUUGGUGAGAAGUGUGCCACUGGAGCCUAGCUGUGCAGGUGGGAAGAACCAGCCAGAAAUGUGCCAGUGCAAGAGGGACUUCCCAUGCACUAUUUAGUGGGCAGAGCUUGCUGCAGCUGAGGAAGUCAUGGAAUCGGCAUCGUGAAGUGAUGGAGGAAUGCAGAAGGCAUCGAGAAUUCAGGAGUACUGAGAUGCAAUGUCCUUCCUACGUAAUUUUCUGAAGAAAAAAAGUUUAAAUAGUUUCCUAUAUUUUGGGAAACUGUGAAACAAAGAUACAAUUAAAAAUCAGAAGUGGAACUGUGUAAAAUACUUCCACUGGCUUGGACAGAAACUGGAUCGUAUCAUGGUCACUGUUUAUGGCAUUCCUAUGACUGAAAUCUGGUGAGUAAGUAACAGGAAAAGAAAACAAGGGUUAGUUUUAGUGGAAGAAAAAUACCUUAAAAUUAUCUUAAUAAUUUUGUUUUUCCUUCUAGUGGCAAUUAGAUUCCUUAUUGUCCUUACACAAAUGAGGACCGACUCUUUCACUUUGAGAAUAGCUCCUACACGGAAUCUUUAGUAUGUGUGGUAACAUGACUGUUAGUUAUUAAGGCAAGCAUAGCAUUUAGGAUUGACUUGAAACUGUUUAGGAAGGUUAACAGCUUAGUGAACUAAUUCAGAAAAAAAAAAAAAAAAAUCUCAUUUAUCAGAGUCAAUUUUUGUAGCUUGACAUUUUAUGAUUUACUUCUAAGCUGCUAAAAGAGCUUAAGAAACCUUUUCCUUCUGAUUUCUCCAAUUUUUAUUUUAUUUAUUUAUUUUUUGGAAGUACCACUUAAUCCUGCCUUAAAUGUCUGCAAUUAAUAUUGAUGCAAACUUGGGUAUUGCCUAUGACAAACCUAAAGAUGAGAGAGAUUAGAAAUGAUUAUGUACUUCAUGGAACUGUUUAAAACAUGAUAACGUUAGUACAUCAUCCAAAGAAAUGAGAUAUUUUGUAUGGUUUUCUGGAAAAUAGAGCUGAUAGCAUGCAGUCAUUUUGAUGGGAGAGAGCUGAGGAUUUUUAGUAUUUUGCUAGCUAUAGAUGUGUUCCAAGUCAAUUGCAGAAACCGAAAAUUCCUUCUAUUUACUAUUCAGAGUCAGUUGGUAUUGAUGUUAAGGGUACUUAAGAUGUGCAGAAGCUUGAACUGUGGCUGAAUCCUUUAUGAAACCUCACAGGAGAAAACCAUUUACGGUGAAAGAAAAACUCGCUAAACAUUAAAAAAUACAAGCAACAAGAAAUGGGCAGUUUGCUGUGCAUGUGGGAUGAUAUGUGGAAACCUUGAGCUAUAUAGUAUGCUUAAGUCCCAUGUAUUGAAACAUAAAUGUGCUUUUGUAUGAACAUGUGCCAUAUAACCCUUGUAUAGUACUGACCACUAAACACGAGCAUGCUAAAGUUUACUAACAUUUCUUAAACUUAUUAUUACAGAGCUUCACCUAGGAAAAUACAGUGGUCUGUUAUUAGUGGUCAAAACAGAAAUGAGCUUCAGUUCUUUUGCUACUGUUAUUCCUUCAGAAACAGCU
Non-coding RNA from Coturnix japonica (Japanese quail), 1773 nucleotides. The record is from RefSeq and is a predicted model, not a curated record. NCBI's taxonomy places the organism in Eukaryota, Metazoa, Chordata, Aves, Galliformes, Phasianidae.